UAGAGUUUGAUCCUGGCUCAGGAUGAACGCUAGCGACAGGCCUAACACAUGCAAGUCGAGGGGCAUCGGGGCGAGGAGCAAUCCUUGCCGCCGGCGACCGGCGCACGGGUGAGUAACGCGUAUGCGACCUGCCCGUUGCAGGGGGAUAAUCGGGAGAAAUCCCGUCUAAUACCGCGUAAUGCCGCGGGGCUGCAUGGCCCUGCGGCCAAAGGGAGCGAUUCCGGCAACGGAUGGGCAUGCGUGACAUUAGCUAGUUGGCGGGGCAACGGCCCACCAAGGCGACGAUGUCUAGGGGUUCUGAGAGGAAGGUCCCCCACACUGGUACUGAGACACGGACCAGACUCCUACGGGAGGCAGCAGUGAGGAAUAUUGGUCAAUGGGCGCGAGCCUGAACCAGCCAAGUCGCGUGAGGGAUGACGGCCCUACGGGUUGUAAACCUCUUUUGUCGGGGAGCAAAUUCCGCCACGUGUGGCGGAGUCGAGAGUACCCGAAGAAAAAGCAUCGGCUAACUCCGUGCCAGCAGCCGCGGUAAUACGGAGGAUGCGAGCGUUAUCCGGAUUUAUUGGGUUUAAAGGGUGCGUAGGCGGACUGUCAAGUCAGCGGUAAAAUACGGGGGCUCAACCUCCGCCCGCCGUUGAAACUGACGGUCUUGAGUGGGCGAGAAGUAUGCGGAAUGCGUGGUGUAGCGGUGAAAUGCAUAGAUAUCACGCAGAACUCCGAUUGCGAAGGCAGCAUACCGGCGCCCAACUGACGCUGAAGCACGAAAGCGUGGGUAUCGAACAGGAUUAGAUACCCUGGUAGUCCACGCAGUAAACGAUGAAUACUAGCUGUCCGGGGCGAAUGAGCCCUGGGUGGCACAGCGAAAGCGUUAAGUAUUCCACCUGGGGAGUACGCCGGCAACGGUGAAACUCAAAGGAAUUGACGGGGGCCCGCACAAGCGGAGGAACAUGUGGUUUAAUUCGAUGAUACGCGAGGAACCUUACCCGGGCUCAAACGACACAGGAACGUACCUGAAAGGGUUCGGCUCUACGGAGCCUGUGUCGAGGUGCUGCAUGGUUGUCGUCAGCUCGUGCCGUGAGGUGUCGGCUUAAGUGCCAUAACGAGCGCAACCCCCAUCGACAGUUGCUAACAGGUCAGGCUGAGGACUCUGUCGAGACUGCCGGCGCAAGCUGCGAGGAAGGCGGGGAUGACGUCAAAUCAGCACGGCCCUUACGUCCGGGGCGACACACGUGUUACAAUGGCAGGUACAGCGGGAAGCCACCUGGCGACAGGGAGCGGAACCCGAAAGCCUGUCUCAGUUCGGAUUGGAGUCUGCAACCCGACUCCAUGAAGCUGGAUUCGCUAGUAAUCGCGCAUCAGCCACGGCGCGGUGAAUACGUUCCCGGGCCUUGUACACACCGCCCGUCAAGCCAUGGAAGCCGGGGGUGCCUGAAGUGCGCUGCCGCGAGGAGCGCCCUAGGGUAAAACCGGUGACUGGGGCUAAGUCGUAACGAGGUAACCGUAA
Molecule: ribosomal RNA, 1504 nt
Filed under: uncultured bacterium
Lineage: Bacteria
Description: partial 16S ribosomal RNA
Rfam family: Bacterial small subunit ribosomal RNA
Source: RNAcentral